Molecule: microRNA, 22 nt
Filed under: Murid gammaherpesvirus 4 (Murine herpesvirus 68)
Lineage: Duplodnaviria; Heunggongvirae; Peploviricota; Herviviricetes; Herpesvirales; Orthoherpesviridae
Description: mghv-miR-M1-14-3p
Gene: mghv-miR-M1-14-3p
Source: miRBase by way of RNAcentral
UGCUACAGCGUGCAGAACGUUU